GAUGAACGCUGGCGGCGUGCCUAAUACAUGCAAGUCGAGCGAACAGACGAGGAGCUUGCUCCUCUGACGUUAGCGGCGGACGGGUGAGUAACACGUGGAUAACCUACCUAUAAGACUGGGAUAACUUCGGGAAACCGGAGCUAAUACCGGCUCAUAUAUUGUACCGCAUGGUUCAAUAGUGAAAGACGGUUUUGCUGUCACUUAUAGAUGGAUCCGCGCCGCAUUAGCUAGUUGGUAAGGUAACGGCUUACCAAGGCAACGAUGCGUAGCCGACCUGAGAGGAUGAUCGGCCACACUGGAACUGAGACACGGUCCAGACUCCUACGGGAGGCAGCAGUAGGGAAUAUUCCGCAAUGGGCGAAAGCCUGACGGAGCAACGCCGCGUGAGUGAUGAAGGUCUUCGGAUCGUAAAGCUCUGUUAUUAGGGAAGAACAAAUGUAUAAGUAACUAUGGACGUCUUGACGGUACCUAAUCAGAAAGCCACGGCUAACUUCGUG
This 497-nucleotide ribosomal RNA is filed under the name uncultured bacterium. Its description in RNAcentral is "partial 16S ribosomal RNA". It matches the Rfam family "Bacterial small subunit ribosomal RNA", at positions 28 to 507 of the family's 1533-position model. The record is from RNAcentral.